AGAGUUUGAUCAUGGCUCAGAUUGAACGCUGGCGGCAUGCCUAACACAUGCAAGUCGCACGCGAAAGCGGGGGCAACCCGCAAGUAGAGUGGCGGACGGGUGAGUAACGCGUAGGAAUCUACCUCGUAGUGGGGGACAACCCGGCGAAAGCGNNCUAAUACCGCAUACGAUCCAUGGAUGAAAGCAGGGGCCGCAAGGCCUUGCGCUAUGAGAUGAGCCUGCGUCGGAUUAGCUAGUUGGUGAGGUAACGGCCCACCAAGGCGACGAUCCGUAGCUGGUUUGAGAGAACGACCAGCCACACCGGAACUGAGACACGGUCCGGACUCCUACGGGAGGCAGCAGUGGGGAAUAUUGGACAAUGGGGGCAACCCUGAUCCAGCAAUGCCGCGUGUGUGAAGAAGGCCUUCGGGUUGUAAAGCACUUUCGGUGGGGACAAACAAGGCGGAGCUAACAUCUUCGUCCCUGAUGGUACCCAAAGAAGAAGCACCGGCUAACUCUGUGCCAGCAGCCGCGGUAAUACAGAGGGUGCAAGCGUUAAUCGGAAUUACUGGGCGUAAAGCGUGCGUAGGUGGUUUGUUAAGUCAGGUGUGAAAUCCUCGGGCUCAACCCGGGAACUGCGCUUGAUACUGACAGACUCGAGUGUGGUAGAGGAUAGUGGAAUUCCCGGUGUAGCGGUGAAAUGCGUAGAUAUCGGGAGGAACAUCAGUGGCGAAGGCGGCUAUCUGGACCAACACUGACACUGAGGUACGAAAGCGUGGGUAGCAAACAGGAUUAGAUACCCUAGUAGUCC
RNAcentral lists this ribosomal RNA (790 nucleotides) under uncultured bacterium. RNAcentral describes it as "bacterial SSU rRNA". It matches the Rfam family "Bacterial small subunit ribosomal RNA", at positions 8 to 796 of the family's 1533-position model. The record is from RNAcentral.